RNAcentral lists this long non-coding RNA (921 nucleotides) under Homo sapiens (human). RNAcentral describes it as "HSALNT0371667". Lineage: Eukaryota; Metazoa; Chordata; Mammalia; Primates; Hominidae. The record is from RNAcentral.
GGGAAAGGCAGACCUACACUCAAUGUGGCUGGGUACCAUCUAGUCAGCUGCCAGCAUGGCUAGAAUAAAAGCAGGCAGAAGAAGGUGGAAAGAUUAGACUGGUUAAGUCUUCUGGCCUCCAUCUUUCUCCAUGCUGGAUGCUUCCUGCCCUGCCCUCGAACAUCGAACUCCAAGUUCUUCAGCUUUUGGACUCUUGGACUUACACCAGCGAUUUGCCAGGGGCUCUUGGGCCUUUGGCCACAGACUGAAGGCUGCACUGUUGUCUUCCCUACUUUGGGGGUUUUGGGACUCGGACUGGCUUCCUGGCUCCUCACCUUGCAGACAGCCUAUGGUGGGACUUCACCUUGUGAUCCUGGGCUUCCCUGGAGGAUCCAGUCUCAGCUGGUUGCUCCUCACAUGUGAUCCCUGCCUUGAAGCCUGGUUCCUGGAUGGAGGAACACAGCAUCUCUAUUGCUUCUCUGUUCUCAGAGCCACCACAGCACUUACCAAAAGCGGUAGGCGAUGUUUGCAUGUGAGGAUACACAUUCCCUAUAUUGGGAAACCGAGGAUGUGUCAAAGAUUGCCGAGUGACUGAUUCCCAAAACUUGGAGUAGAGAAAUUUUUUAAAAUUAAAAUUUGAAUUUUUAAUCUUAAGUACUGGUUUUAAUUUUUACCUAGUGAAUACCUUGAAUUAAACAUCCCUAUUUAACUAGUAGUCUAUUCCACUGCGCAUUAUUUACAAUAGACCAUUAAUGAAAACAACAGAUAUCCAAAUGAUGGGUGUAUCCAAAGAUGCCCUCAGAGGCAUAAAUUCUUGCAUUAUUAAAAACAUUACUUAAAAAACAUGAACUGAUAAUGUGACUGAAAACUUUAGAAAAAAAUAACAUUAAAAUAAUUUAUAUAAAAAAGUCUCCCAGGAUUAUUUGCAUGAUAUAAUACAUU